UAUAUUUUAGUAUUAGAGGUACAUAGAUUUUUGAAGUCUAAAGAAAAAGUUUAAAUCUUUUAAAUAUAA
This 69-nucleotide transfer RNA is filed under the name Lema decempunctata. RNAcentral's name for it is "tRNA-Gln". It matches the Rfam family "tRNA". From Rfam's summary of the family: Transfer RNA (tRNA) molecules are approximately 80 nucleotides in length. Lineage: Eukaryota; Metazoa; Arthropoda; Insecta; Coleoptera; Chrysomelidae. The record is from RNAcentral.